UACGAAGGGAGCUAGCGUUGUUCGGAAUCACUGGGCGUAAAGCGCACGUAGGCGGAUGUGUCAGUCAGGGGUGAAAUCCCGGAGCUCAACUUCGGAACUGCCUUUGAUACAGCACAUCUGGAGUCCGGAAGAGGUGGGUGGAAUUCCUAGUGUAGAGGUGAAAUUCGUAGAUAUUAGGAAGAACACCAGUGGCGAAGGCGGCUCACUGGCCCGGUACUGACGCUGAGGUGCGAAAGCGUGGGGAGCAAACAGG
This 253-nucleotide ribosomal RNA is filed under the name uncultured bacterium. RNAcentral's name for it is "partial 16S ribosomal RNA". It matches the Rfam family "Bacterial small subunit ribosomal RNA", at positions 524 to 776 of the family's 1533-position model. The record is from RNAcentral.